CGAAGUUCUUAGCCUUGUCAAAUAACCCAGCCAUUUCCUGAAGCACUGUAGUAACAAGAGAGAUGGAUGGAAGAAGAAAUAGAUAGAUCUAAGCCGGAAAGAUAGAGUAGUUUGGGGACUUUGAAUUUGUGAUUAGGGAAAUAGGAUCCUUGGGAAUAUAUACACGCAGGUGGUAGGCAUGGUAGUGGAGUGGGGUAUGUGGGUUUCUGACACGUGUCGUGAGGUUGCCGUGGAGACGCGUGACGGUGUGUACGUGUCAGUUGUGUUGCCUCCGUGUUUGGAGAUCUGUAAAUCCGGCCGACCAUAGUUGGAAAGAAAAUGGAGAAGGUGUGUACGGAAGUCAUGGCUAAGAUUUAGAUAUUUUAUUUUGUUCUCGUUACCGUGAACGUUAAAAGAGUCAUGGUCUGGGCAUCAAUGAGAGACACCCCAGCUGGGUCCUUGCUCUUUUGGUAACAUUUUCAUUGUUUGGUUCUUCUCUGACCUAUUUUUUAAGAAAAAUAAACAAGUUUCAUACUUUAGGACUUCUCACUUGCUAAAGUUUCCUACUUUACUUCUUACAACACAAGUAUCAUACUUACGAAUUCUUUCAAAAUCUCACAUUCGCCUCAUUAUCUUGUGCUUCUUGUAAUUGUGUUAGAUAACAAGAAACGGUGCAGAUGCUCAUCACAAGAUUGUCAUGGUUAUAAGCACACAAAUUCGUAAACUAUAUUUAUUUUCAAGAUUUCAUUCUUGCAGUGACGACUUCAAUAUAUUAACCCACAAAGUGUUAACUGUGAUCAGCUGAACAGAGUCAGGAGUCAGAACCAGCAGGGGUAUUACAGAAGCCAAACAUAUCUUUUCAACUAAAACACAUAGGAAAUCUUGAUAUGAAGCACAACAUACAAAGACAGAGAAGCUUGAAACUUGGGGAGCUCAACCAAAGAGGCUGGUGAGACUGGGAAGCUUGAUCUCUCCCUUCUUGGACAGAGGUAUGGUGAAAUUCCCAAUCACAGGAAGGUCAAUGGUGAGACCCAAUAUCAACUCAUAAUCAAUGUCCCAAUCUGCCCCAACAUCCUUACACAAGGUCGCCAACACACUAUGUGGCACCUUCACUGGUACCUCCAGAAUUGUAACAUCGCUUGCCUCAAUCGAUCCCGGGUCCGGAAUUUUCCCAGAUACAAUCUCCCUGAAUAACAAAACAAUCAUAUCCAAUCAAACCCUGGUUUUCUUCUACAUCAAGCAAUCAAAACCAAUAAGAAGAUAAACAAAAUUAGUACCUGCCAACACAUUUGAGGGUGUAGGAGAUCUCGCAGAUGGGGAUGGAGUGAUCAUAAGGGUUCUUGACAUGAACCUUGCCGAGGUACUCCGCAGCAUCGAAGCUCGCCUUCCUGAAGUCAACAUCUGUCAGCUCUGCCUCUGGCUUUUCUAUGUUGCCCAGUUUCUCAGUCGCGAAGUUCUUAGCCUUGUCAAAUAUCCCAGCCAUUUUCUGAAGCACUGUAGUAACAAGAGAGAUGGAGGGAAGAAGAAAUAGAUAGAUCUAAGCCGGAAAGAUAGAGUGGUUUGGGGACUUUGAGUUUGUGAUUGGGGAAUAUAGGAUCCUUGGGGAAUAUAUAGACACAGGUGGUAGGCAUAGUAGUGGAGUGGGAUAUGUGGGUUUCUGACACGUGUCGUGAGGUUGCCGUGGAGACGCGUGACGGUGUGUACGUGUCAGUUGUGUUGCCUCCGUGUUUGGAGAUCUGUAAAUCCGGCCGACCAUAGUUGGAAAGAAAAUGGAGAAGGUGUGUACGGAAGUCAUGGCUAAGAUUUAGAUAUUUUAUUUUGUUCUCGUUACCGUGAACGUUAAAAGCGUCAUGGUCUGGGCAUCAAUGAGAGACACCCCAG
This 1860-nucleotide long non-coding RNA is filed under the name Fragaria vesca (wild strawberry). RNAcentral's name for it is "long non-coding RNA (FVES_LNC003556)". The record is from RNAcentral. Lineage: Eukaryota; Viridiplantae; Streptophyta; Magnoliopsida; Rosales; Rosaceae.